GUCCCUGUAGCGCAAUGAAUUGCGCGCGCGCGUUGGAUUUCUAGUCCAAAGGUCGUGCGUUCGAAUUCCAACUGGGAUG
Trichonephila clavipes is the source of this 79-nucleotide non-coding RNA. Lineage: Eukaryota; Metazoa; Arthropoda; Arachnida; Araneae; Nephilidae. The record is from the annotation of a GenBank genome assembly.